UGGGGGAUUUUGCACAAUGGGCGCAAGCCUGAUGCAGCGACGCCGCGUGAGGGAUGAAGGCCUUCGGGCUGUAAACCUCUUUCGUUGGGUUGAAAGGCCAUGCGUUGGGUGUGGGUGAUUUGAACUGGUAAAGAAGUACCGGCUAACUACGUGCCAGCAGCCGCGGUAAUACGUAGGGUACUAGCGUUGUCCGGAUUUAUUGGGCGUAAAGGGCUUGUAGGUGGUUUGUCGCGUCUGUCGUGAAAUCCUGUGGCUUAACCAUGGGCUUGCGGUGGGUACGGGCAGGCUUGAGUGCGGUAGGGGAGACUGGAAUUCCUGGUGUGGCGGUGGAAUGCGCAGAUAUCAGGAUGAACACCGGUGGCGAAGGCGGGUCUCUGGGCCGUUACUGACACUGAGGAGCGAAAGCGUGGGGAGCGAACAGG
This 422-nucleotide ribosomal RNA is filed under the name Fusobacteriota bacterium. RNAcentral's name for it is "Fusobacteria bacterium partial 16S ribosomal RNA". It matches the Rfam family "Bacterial small subunit ribosomal RNA", at positions 355 to 776 of the family's 1533-position model. The record is from RNAcentral. Lineage: Bacteria; Fusobacteriati; Fusobacteriota.